Molecule: long non-coding RNA, 283 nt
Filed under: Serinus canaria (Common canary)
Lineage: Eukaryota; Metazoa; Chordata; Aves; Passeriformes; Fringillidae
Description: lncRNA (ENSSCAG00000006920.1)
Source: RNAcentral
GGGGAGCAGCCAAUUUCCAGUUUCCUGCACCAUGUUGUGGGACUGUCCUCAGGAGGAAUAAUAUUGUCCACAAGUUUUAUACCUUUUUAUCUGUAAGAUCCUAAUUGCUUUAUUUUGAAAUAUAGCUACAGACUAUGAACUCUCCAUGGUUGCUGGGAGGAGAGGCUGAUUUUCCCCAGAUGAAUAGAUGAACUGGACUUGCCAUCUGUCAGGUGCAGAGAUCUCCUUGUUAACGUGGGUGAUCAGGAUGUUAAGCUUCCUUUCUAGGUACUACAGACCAAGA